GAGAUAUAUACUGUCUCAUAUAUAUAAAAUGAAUUUAAAUUUUUAGUAAAAAUGCUUAAAUAAUUUUAUGGGACGAUAAGACCCUAUAGAAUUUUAUAUUAAAAUUUUAUUAAUUAUUUAAUUAAAAUUUUAAUAUUUAGUUGGGAGGAUUAGUAAAUAAAAUUAACUUUAUUUUAAAAAUAAACUUUGAUUUAAGAAUAAAAUUUUGAUCUUAUAUUAUAAAUUAAAAGAAUAAAUUACCUUAGGGAUAACAGCGUAAUAUCUUUUUAAAGAUCAUAUUAAUAAAGAUGUUUGCGACCUCGAUGUUGAAUUAAGAUAAAUUUUAAAUGAAGAAAUUUAAAAAUUAAGUCUGUUCGACUUUUAAAAUCUUACAUGA
RNAcentral lists this ribosomal RNA (376 nucleotides) under Bombus morio. Its description in RNAcentral is "partial 16S ribosomal RNA". The stretch from base 247 to 376 matches the Rfam family "Archaeal large subunit ribosomal RNA", at positions 2542 to 2672 of the family's 2987-position model. Lineage: Eukaryota; Metazoa; Arthropoda; Insecta; Hymenoptera; Apidae. The record is from RNAcentral.